Molecule: ribosomal RNA, 427 nt
Filed under: uncultured Gammaproteobacteria bacterium
Lineage: Bacteria; Pseudomonadati; Pseudomonadota; Gammaproteobacteria
Description: bacterial SSU rRNA
Rfam family: Bacterial small subunit ribosomal RNA
Source: RNAcentral
AACGCGAAGAACCUUACCUGGCCUUGACAUCUACGGAAUUCUUCAGAGAUGAGGAAGUGCCUUCGGGAACCGUAAGACAGGUGCUGCAUGGCUGUCGUCAGCUCGUGUCGUGAGAUGUUGGGUUAAGUCCCGCAACGAGCGCAACCCUUGUCCUUAGUUGCCAUCAUUAAGUUGGGAACUCUAAGGAGACCGCCGGUGACAAACCGGAGGAAGGUGGGGAUGACGUCAAGUCAUCAUGGCCUUUAUGGCCAGGGCUACACACGUGCUACAAUGGCAGGUACAGAGGGAAGCCAACGCGCGAGCGGGAGCCAAUCCCAGAAAGCCUGUCGUAGUCCGGAUCGGAGUCUGCAACUCGACUCCGUGAAGUCGGAAUCGCUAGUAAUCGCAGAUCAGCAUUGCUGCGGUGAAUACGUUCCCGGGCCUUGUA